This 24-nucleotide non-coding RNA is filed under the name Cricetulus griseus (Chinese hamster). The record is from RNAcentral. Lineage: Eukaryota; Metazoa; Chordata; Mammalia; Rodentia; Cricetidae.
GUGGAUGCUGGGAACUAAACUGGG